Molecule: ribosomal RNA, 758 nt
Filed under: uncultured bacterium
Lineage: Bacteria
Description: bacterial SSU rRNA
Rfam family: Bacterial small subunit ribosomal RNA
Source: RNAcentral
AGAGUUUGAUCAUGGCUCAGAAUCAACGCUGGCGGCGUGCCUAACACAUGCAAGUCGCACGAGAAAGGGUAGCAAUACCUGAGUAAAGUGGCGCACGGGUGAGUAACACGUGACUAACCUACCCUCGAGUGGGGAAUAACCUAGAGAAAUCUGGGCUAAUACCGCAUAACACUUACGAGUCAAAGCAGCAAUGCGCUUGGGGAGGGGGUCGCGGCCGAUUAGCUAGUUGGCGGGGUAAUGGCCCACCAAGGCGAUGAUCGGUAUCCGGCCUGAGAGGGCGCACGGACACACUGGAACUGAAACACGGUCCAGACUCCUACGGGAGGCAGCAGUGGGGAAUUUUGCGCAAUGGGGGAAACCCUGACGCAGCAACGCCGCGUGGAGGAUGAAAUAUCUUGGUAUGUAAACUCCUUUCGAUGGGGAAGAUUAUGACGGUACCCAUAGAAGAAGCCCCGGCUAACUUUCGUGCCAGCAGCCGCGGUAAUACGAGGGGGGCAAGCGUUGUUUCGGAUUUAUUGGGCGUAAAGGGUGCGUAGGCGGUUUGGCAAGUCUGAUGUGAAAUCUAUGGGCUCAACCCAUAGUCUGCAUCAGAAACUGCCGGGCUUGAGUAUGGGAGAGGUGAGUGGAAUUUCCGGUGUAGCGGUGAAAUGCGUAGAUAUCGGAAGGAACACCUGUGGCGAAAGCGGCUCACUGGACCAUUACUGACGCUGAUGUACGAAAGCUAGGGGAGCAAACAGGAUUAGAUACCCUAGUAGUCC